Molecule: ribosomal RNA, 446 nt
Filed under: uncultured bacterium
Lineage: Bacteria
Description: partial 16S ribosomal RNA
Rfam family: Bacterial small subunit ribosomal RNA
Source: RNAcentral
CCAGACUCCUACGGGAGGCAGCAGUGGGGAAUAUUGGGCAAUGGGCGCAAGCCUGACCCAGCAACGCCGCGUGAAGGAAGAAGGCUUUCGGGUUGUAAACUUCUUUUAAGAGGGAAGAGUAGAAGACGGUACCUCUUGAAUAAGCCACGGCUAACUACGUGCCAGCAGCCGCGGUAAUACGUAGGUGGCAAGCGUUAUCCGGAUUUAUUGGGUGUAAAGGGCGUGUAGGCGGGAGCGCAAGUCAGAUGUGAAAACUCAGGGCUCAACCCUGAGCCUGCAUUUGAAACUGUGUUUCUUGAGUGCUGGAGAGGCAAUCGGAAUUCCGUGGGUAGCGGUGAAAUGCGUAGAUAUACGGAGGAACACCAGUGGCGAAGGCGGCCUGCUGGACGAUGACUGACGUUGAGGCUCGAAAGCGUGGGGAGCAAACAGGAUUAGAUACCCCAGUA